Molecule: non-coding RNA, 690 nt
Organism: Manis javanica (Malayan pangolin)
Lineage: Eukaryota; Metazoa; Chordata; Mammalia; Pholidota; Manidae
Source: RefSeq, a predicted model, not a curated record
CACGCACGCAUGCACACACCCCACACAGAUCUGUGCAGAUGCCUCCAAAGGAAUGUUCAAGAAGCCAGGACCACCAGGCGCCUCAGGGAGGGAGCUGGGGCAGGAAGGAGGGGCGCCACGGGAGCUGGUUUUAUUUGUGCCAUUUUGUACCCCUGGGGUUUCUUCCCCUCUGGCUCCCCACCCCGCCUUCCUUCAACAUCCAUCCAUUGUCUAUUCAAAAACAUGAUUCUAUACAUUUACGCAUCAAUUCGUUUCCAAGAAAUGAAGUGUGUGCCCCGAGCUCCCCUCCGUUCCCCGAACCAGGGCCCUCCUUUCUGGCCUCCGCAACCUCCGCCCGCGGUCAGGCCACUCACUCCCCUAGACGCCCAGGCUGGGCACCCAGGAGGCUGCUUCCACCUGGAGCUCUCCCUGGAGCUGGGCCUCGAAGAGGAGCAAAAGUCCGCGCUUCCCCCAGAGCUGUGAGCAGAUGCACCCCGAAACCGAGUACACCGGGGUGGGGCACCCCGGCUCCGCCACGACCCACCCCAAGCUGCAGGGGAGCCGCUGGCCUGCCGGCGGGGGCGGGCGCCACCUGCUGGGCAUAGCGGCCUCACGGUGCUGUUCACAGACGUGACAUCUUUAUAUGUCAGAGGAGCCCUUAAACCACAAACAUAAUCGUGCUUAAUGGAGAGAGAGUGUAACAUUGCCCCA